UGCGCUGGGUCCCAGCAGGUCA
Molecule: microRNA, 22 nt
Filed under: Canis lupus familiaris (dog)
Lineage: Eukaryota; Metazoa; Chordata; Mammalia; Carnivora; Canidae
Description: cfa-miR-8889
Source: miRBase by way of RNAcentral